ACGAAAGUCUGACGGAGCAACGCCGCGUGAGUGAAGAAGGUUUUCGGAUCGUAAAACUCUGUUUCAGGGACGAAUGUGCAGAUUGUAAAUAAUGAUUUGUAAUGACGGUACCUGAGUAGAAAGCCACGGCUAACUACGUGCCAGCAGCCGCGGUAAUACGUAGGUGGCAAGCGUUGUCCGGAAUUAUUGGGCGUAAAGCGCGCGCAGGUGGGAUAUUAAGUCUGGUGUUAAAGUUCGGGGCUCAACCCCGUGAAGCAUUUGGAAACUGAUAUUCUUGAGUGCAGGAGAGGAAAGUGGAAUUCCUAGUGUAGCGGUGAAAUGCGUAGAUAUUAGGAGGAACACCAGUGGCGAAGGCGACUUUCUGGACUGUGUCUGACACUGAGGCGCGAAAGCCAGGGUAGUGAACGGGAUUAGAUACCCCGGUAAUCCUGGCCGUAAACGAUGGGUACUAGGUGUUGGGGGUAUCGACCCCUCCAGUGCCGGAGUUAACGCAAUAAGUACCCCGCCUGGGGAGUACGGCCGCAAGGUUG
RNAcentral lists this ribosomal RNA (530 nucleotides) under uncultured Bacillota bacterium. RNAcentral describes it as "bacterial SSU rRNA". It matches the Rfam family "Bacterial small subunit ribosomal RNA", at positions 375 to 896 of the family's 1533-position model. Lineage: Bacteria; Bacillati; Bacillota. The record is from RNAcentral.